Molecule: transfer RNA, 72 nt
Filed under: Clostridiales bacterium
Lineage: Bacteria; Bacillati; Bacillota; Clostridia; Eubacteriales
Description: tRNA-Asn
Rfam family: tRNA
About the family: Transfer RNA (tRNA) molecules are approximately 80 nucleotides in length. Their secondary structure includes four short double-helical elements and three loops (D, anti-codon, and T loops).
Source: RNAcentral
UCCUCGAUAGCUCAAUGGCAGAGCACACGGCUGUUAACCGUGGGGUUGUAGGUUCGAGUCCUACUCGGGGAG